RNAcentral lists this unclassified non-coding RNA (242 nucleotides) under Hevea brasiliensis (rubber tree). Lineage: Eukaryota; Viridiplantae; Streptophyta; Magnoliopsida; Malpighiales; Euphorbiaceae. The record is from RNAcentral.
GUUCAGCUUUGAGGAGGGCGAAUUGCCGGGCUAAAGGCGGAGCUCCCGGGUUCAAAGUCGCAAUACUUGGCGCUGCCGGUGGCAUUGGCCAGCCCCUUGCGAUGUUGAUGAAGAUGAAUCCUCUGGUUUCUGUUCUACAUCUAUAUGAUGUAGUCAAUGCCCCUGGUGUCACCGCUGAUAUUAGCCACAUGGACACGGGUGCUGUGGUGCGUGGAUUCUUGGGGCAGCAGCAGCUGGAGGCU